AUUGAACGCUGGCGGUAGGCCUAACACAUGCAAGUCGAACGCGAAAGUCCUGGAUGAGUAGAGUGGCGGACGGGUGAGUAACGCGUAGGAAUCUAUCCUGUAGUGGGGGAGUAACGUUUCGAAAGGAACGCUAAUACCGCAUACGCCCCAAGGGGGAAAGCGGGGAGUCUUCGGACCUCGUGCUAUAGGAGGAGCCUGCGUCGGAUUAGCUAGUUGGUGAGGUAAAGGCCCACCAAGGCGACGAUCCGUAGCUGGUCUGAGAGGAUGAUCAGCCACACCGGAACUGAGACACGGUCCGGACUCCUACGGGAGGCAGCAGUGGGGAAUAUUGCGCAAUGGGCGAAAGCCUGACGCAGCCAUACCGCGUGUGUGAAGAAGGCC
Molecule: ribosomal RNA, 381 nt
Filed under: uncultured bacterium
Lineage: Bacteria
Description: bacterial SSU rRNA
Rfam family: Bacterial small subunit ribosomal RNA
Source: RNAcentral